Molecule: ribosomal RNA, 274 nt
Filed under: uncultured bacterium
Lineage: Bacteria
Description: partial 16S ribosomal RNA
Rfam family: Bacterial small subunit ribosomal RNA
Source: RNAcentral
AUACGGAGGGUGCGAGCGUUAAUCGGAAUUACUGGGCGUAAAGCGUACGUAGGCGGUUGGUUAAGUUAGAUGUGAAAGCCCCGGGCUUAACCUGGGAACUGCAUUUAAAACUGGCGAACUAGAGUUGAGUAGAGGGGAGUGGAAUUUCAGGUGUAGCGGUGGAAUGCGUAGAGAUCUGAAGGAACACCAGUGGCGAAGGCGACUCCCUGGACUCGAACUGACGCUGAGGUACGAAAGCGUGGGUAGCAAACGGGAUUAGAAACCCCGGUAGUCC